CCUACGGGAGGCAGCAGUGGGGAAUAUUGCACAAUGGGGGAAACCCUGAUGCAGCGACGCCGCGUGAGUGAAGAAGUAAUUCGUUAUGUAAAGCUCUAUCAGCAGGGAAGAAAAUGACGGUACCUGAGUAAGAAGCCCCGGCUAACUACGUGCCAGCAGCCGCGGUAAUACGUAGGGGGCAAGCGUUAUCCGGAUUUACUGGGUGUAAAGGGAGCGUAGACGGGCCAGCAAGUCUGAUGUGAAAACCCGGGGCCCAACCCCGGGAGUGCAUUGGAAACUGCGGGCCUGGAGUGCCGGAGAGGUAAGCGGAAUUCCUAGUGUAGCGGUGAAAUGCGUAGAUAUUAGGAGGAACACCAGUGGCGAAGGCGGCUUACUGGACGGUAACUGACGUUGAGGCUCGAAAGCGUGGGGAGCAAACAGGAUUAGAUACCCGGGUAGUC
This 440-nucleotide ribosomal RNA is filed under the name uncultured bacterium. RNAcentral's name for it is "partial 16S ribosomal RNA". It matches the Rfam family "Bacterial small subunit ribosomal RNA", at positions 338 to 795 of the family's 1533-position model. The record is from RNAcentral.